This 456-nucleotide ribosomal RNA is filed under the name uncultured bacterium. RNAcentral describes it as "partial 16S ribosomal RNA". It matches the Rfam family "Bacterial small subunit ribosomal RNA", at positions 355 to 823 of the family's 1533-position model. The record is from RNAcentral.
UGGGGAAUCUUAGACAAUGGGGGAAACCCUGAUCUAGCCAUGCCGCGUGAGCGAUGAAGGCCUUAGGGUUGUAAAGCUCUUUCAGCUGGGAAGAUAGUGACGGUACCAGCAGAAGAAGCCCCGGCUAACUCCGUGCCAGCAGCCGCGGUAAUACGGAGGGGGCUAGCGUUGUUCGGAAUUACUGGGCGUAAAGCGCACGUAGGCGGAUUAGUCAGUCAGAGGUGAAAUCCCAGGGCUCAACCCUGGAACUGCCUUUGAUACUGCUAGUCUUGAGGUCGAGAGAGGUGAGUGGAAUUUCCCGAGUGUAGAGGUGAAAUUCGUAGAUAUUCGGAGGAACACCAGUGGCGAAGGCGGCUCACUGGCUCGAUACUGACGCUGAGGUGCGAAAGCGUGGGGAGCAAAACAGGAUUUAGAUACCCUGGGUAGUCCCACGCCGUAAACGAUGAUGCCAGUCGU